RNAcentral lists this ribosomal RNA (425 nucleotides) under uncultured bacterium. Its description in RNAcentral is "partial 16S ribosomal RNA". It matches the Rfam family "Bacterial small subunit ribosomal RNA", at positions 354 to 796 of the family's 1533-position model. The record is from RNAcentral.
GUGGGGAAUCUUGCGCAAUGGGCGAAAGCCUGACGCAGCCAUGCCGCGUGGAUGAUGAAGGUCUUAGGAUUGUAAAAUCCUUUCACCGGUGAAGAUAAUGACUGUAGCCGGAGAAGAAGCCCCGGCUAACUUCGUGCCAGCAGCCGCGGUAAUACGAAGGGGGCUAGCGUUGCUCGGAAUUACUGGGCGUAAAGGGCGCGUAGGCGGACAGUUUAGUCAGAGGUGAAAGCCCAGGGCUCAACCUUGGAAUUGCCUUUGAUACUGGCUGUCUUGAGUACGGGAGAGGUGAGUGGAACUCCGAGUGUAGAGGUGAAAUUCGUAGAUAUUCGGAAGAACACCAGUGGCGAAGGCGACUCACUGGCCCGUUACUGACGCUGAGGCGCGAAAGCGUGGGGAGCAAACAGGAUUAGAAACCCCGGUAGUCC